CCCUUAGAUGUUCUGGGCUGCACGCGUGCUACAAUGGCGCUUGCAACAAGUCUUGCCAACCCGAUAGGGUGAGCGGAUCUUUGAAGAGGCGUCGUGAUCGGGACAGUUGAUUGCAAUUAUUCGACUCGAACGAGGAAUUCCUUGUAAUCGCGAUUCAUCAUAUCGCGCUGAAUACGUCCCUGCCCUUUGUACACACCGCCCGUCACUCCUACCGAUUGAGCGAUCCGGUGAAUGUUUUGGACUGGCGUCAGAAGCGGUUCGCUCCUGACACUACGAAAUUUUGUAAACCUUAUCGCUUAGAGGAAGGAAAAGUCGUAACA
Molecule: ribosomal RNA, 320 nt
Filed under: uncultured eukaryote
Lineage: Eukaryota
Description: partial 18S ribosomal RNA
Rfam family: Eukaryotic small subunit ribosomal RNA
Source: RNAcentral